This 1464-nucleotide long non-coding RNA is filed under the name Bos grunniens (domestic yak). Its description in RNAcentral is "lncRNA (ENSBGRG00000025939.1)". The record is from RNAcentral. Lineage: Eukaryota; Metazoa; Chordata; Mammalia; Artiodactyla; Bovidae.
AUGUCCAGCCAUGUGACUCUCCAGGUCCCAGCACACCCCCUGGAGGCCUUUGUCCACGAGGUCAGCAAUGUUCAACGGACACAUGUGGGGGCAUCCGAAGCCCUGCAGGCUGUGCACACACUCCCACCUGAGCAGAGUGGUGACACCCCCAGCUCUCCAGCCCAGGUUGUCCUGCCUAAGCAGGGGGACUUUCUCAAUUCCUCAGCAAAAGCCGUCCUGUCCAACCAGGCUGACACUCCCAGUUUCCCAGAAAAGACCAUCCUAUCAAAAGAGAGGGAAAUUCUCGAUUCCCCCCAGCAGAACAUUUUGCCCAAGCAGGCUACCACCCUCAAUUCCUCAAUCCAAACCAUUUCACCAAAACAGGGUAACAUUCCCAAUUUCCCAGAAAAAACCAUCCUGCCAAAAGAGGGUGACAUUCUCAAUCCCCCCAGUAAAACUACCCUGCACAAGCAGGCCAACACCCCCAAUUCUUCGGAAAAACCACCUUGCCCAAGCAGGGCGACACCCCUAAGCCCUCAGCCAAAACCAUUUUGCCCAAGGAGGCUGAUGCCCCCAUCUCCCCAAUCCAAACCAUUCUGCCCAAUCAGUCUUAUGCCUCCAAAUUCUCAGAAAAAACCAUCUCGACAAAAGAGAGUGACAUUUUCAACACCCCAGCCAAAGUCAUUCCAUCAUGGCCGGCUGACUCCCCCAAUUUCCCAGCCAAGAUCAAUCCAUCACGGCAGGCUGACUCCCCCAAGUUCCCAGCCAAGAUCAUCUUACCCAAACAGGCUGACUCCUCUAACUCCCCAAACCAAAUCCUCCCACCCAAGCAGACUGACUCCCCCAGUUUCCCAGGCAAAAUCAUUUCAUCACAGCAGGCUGACUCCCCCAAAUUCCCACUCAAAACUGCCCUGCACAGGCAGGUGGACAUCCCCACUUCUUCAGAAAAAAACAUCUCACCCAAGCAGGACAAUACCCCCAAUUUUCCAGCAAAAUUCAGUUUGCCCAAGAAGAGUAAAACCCACAAGUUCACAACCAAAGCCAUUCUGUCUAAGCAGGGUGACACCCCAAAGUCCUCAGCCAAAACCAUCGUGCCCAAGGAGGGUGAGACCCCCAAGCCCUCAGCCAAAACCAUUCUGCCCAAGGCGGGUGAGAUCCCCAAGUCCUCAGCCGAAACCAUUCUGCCCAAGGAGGGUGAGACCCUCAAGUCCUCAGCCAAAACCAUUCUGCCCAAGGAAGGUCAGACUCCCAAGUCCUCAACCAAAACCAUUCUACUCAAGGAAGGUGAGACCCCCAAGUCCUCAGCUGAAACCAUUCUGCCCAAGGAGGGUGAGACCCCCAAGUCCUCAGCUGAAACCAUUCUGCCCAAGGAGGGUGAGACCCCCAAGUCCUCAGCUGAAACCAUUCUGCCCAAGGAGGGUGAGACCCCCAAGUCCUCAACCGAAACCAUUCUACUCAAGGCGGGUGAGACCACCAGGUCCUUAG